GUGAAAUGCUCUGUAAACAACAGGUGUAGACUAACAGUGAAAUGCUCUGUAAACAACAGGUGUGGACUAACAGUGAAAUGCUUGGUAAACAACAGGUGUAGACUAACAGUGAAAUGCUUUGUAAACAACAGGUGUAGACUAACAGUGAAAUGCUUGGUAAACAACAGGUGUAGACUAACAGUGAAAUGCUUGGUAAACAACAGGUGUAGACUAACAGUGAAAUGCUUGGUAAACAACAGAUGUAGACUAACAGUGAAAUGCUUGGUAAACAACAGGUGUAGACUAACAGUGAAAUGCUUGGUAAACAACAGGUGUAGACUAACAGUGAAAUGCUUGGUAAACAACAGGUGUAGACUAACAGUGAAAUGCUUGGUAAACAACAGAUGUAGACUAACAGUGAAAUGCUUGGUAAACAACAGGUGUAGACUAACAGUGAAAUGCUUGGUAAACAACAGGUGUAGACUAACAGUGAAAUGCUUGGUAAACAACAGAUGUAGACUAACAGUGAAAUGCUUGGUAAACAACAGGUGUAGACUAACAGUGAAAUGCUUGGUAAACAACAGGUGUAGACUAACAGUGAAAUGCUUGGUAAACAACAGGUGUAGACUAACAGUGAAAUGCUUGGUAAACAACAGGUGUAGACUAACAGUGAAAUGCUUGGUAAACAACAGGUGUAGACUAACAGUGAAAUGCUUGGUAAACAACAGGUGUAGACUAACAGUGAAAUGCUUUGUAAACAACAGGUGUAGACUAACAGUGAAAUGCUUGGUAAACAACAGGUGUAGACUAACAGUGAAAUGCUUUGUAAACAACAGGUGUAGACUAACAGUGAAAUGCUUGGUAAACAACAGGUGUAGACUAACAGUGAAAUGCUUUGUAAACAACAGGUGUAGAC
Molecule: long non-coding RNA, 895 nt
Organism: Oncorhynchus keta (chum salmon)
Lineage: Eukaryota; Metazoa; Chordata; Actinopteri; Salmoniformes; Salmonidae
Exons: 4
Source: RefSeq, a predicted model, not a curated record